CGGAGACCAGAAUUACGAGGGGGGCUCCGAAAUUGAACUCUGGUCUCACCGUGUCUCACUGUGUCGUGAUAUCUACAUCUGGUGACCUCGACGUGAUUCAGAACAAACACCCUCGUACCCACUGGCAGGAUCAGCCAACGGUGCACCUCAGCGUACAGCUCCCAUUCGUAGCUGCAGUACUGGCAGAAGUGACCAGGGAGAAACCGGUUCCGGCAUUUUCAGCAGUCGGAGUCUCUACCUGCCCCGCGGGUGCAGUUUCGGCAACUACCAAAUCCAGAGUGGAAAGGCCCAGUUCCGCUUAUAACGUGGGGUCGAGGUUACGCGGCUGUGUCUACGCCUGACGGUCCUGUGUGGGUACCUGCUAGGUGUAUCCGGCCCUGGAAAGACGAUGUCCUGGCACGAUAAUCUUAAGAAUCCCAUCCCUAAUUUUUCUCUGCAACUUCAGGAUACUGGGAUGUCUUCCAGGAAGCGUGGUCGGAAUGUUCCGCAACCUCCCGUGACUUGGGGCCAAAUAAAGAACUUAGCAACACAAGCAGAAAAAGCAAUGGAACAAGCCGGGGUGGACAAGACAACUGAGAAUACCAUUCUUGCUUUAAUUGCGUCUUUAAAUACAAAUUCUAUUUUUGUACUUUGCAUUUGUUGGAUUUUAGGAAGCGCCGGGGCUGACAGGUUGGGGCAGGAGUUGGGGAUGCGGUUUCAACACAAUAUCUGGGUUCAGUUAGCAAGAAUGACAAAUGUGAGUGACUUUUGCAUGACUGAACAUGUACAGGAAAUGGGUAUGUUGGGAACAUGUUUAAUACCCGUAUGCAAAGCACCUGGGGAUAUUGGGAACAUUACAGGACUUGGG
This is a long non-coding RNA of Rhineura floridana, 847 nucleotides long. RefSeq lists it as uncharacterized. The record is from RefSeq and is a predicted model, not a curated record. The transcript has 3 exons. NCBI's taxonomy places the organism in Eukaryota, Metazoa, Chordata, Lepidosauria, Squamata, Rhineuridae.